This 424-nucleotide ribosomal RNA is filed under the name uncultured prokaryote. RNAcentral describes it as "bacterial SSU rRNA". It matches the Rfam family "Bacterial small subunit ribosomal RNA", at positions 355 to 796 of the family's 1533-position model. The record is from RNAcentral.
UCGGGAAUUUUGCUCAAUGGGGGAAACCCUGAAGCAGCAACGCCGCGUGAGGGAUGAAGGCCUUCGGGUUGUAAACCUCUUUUCUCAGGGACGAUAAUGACGGUACCUGAGGAAUAAGCCACGGCUAACUACGUGCCAGCAGCCGCGGUAAUACGUAGGUGGCAAGCGUUGUCCGGAUUUACUGGGCGUAAAGAGCGCGCAGGCGGCCAAGUAAGUCGAAUGUGAAAGCCCCCGGCUCAACUGGGGAAGGUCAUUCGAUACUGCCUGGCUUGAAGAUAGGAGAGGGAAGCGGAAUUUCCGGUGUAGUGGUGAAAUGCGUAGAUAUCGGAAGGAACACCAGUGGCGAAGGCGGCUUUCUGGCCUAUUCUUGACGCUGAGGCGCGAAAGCUAGGGGAGCGAACGGGAUUAGAUACCCCCGUAGUCC